AUCCCGCUGACGUUUCCCAAAUAGGACGAAACGUGCGUCAAACUGGAU
This 48-nucleotide non-coding RNA is filed under the name Schistosoma mansoni. Lineage: Eukaryota; Metazoa; Platyhelminthes; Trematoda; Strigeidida; Schistosomatidae. The record is from RNAcentral.